CCUACGGGAGGCUGCAGUGGGGAAUAUUGCACAAUGGGGGAAACCCUGAUGCAGCGACGCCGCGUGAGUGAAGAAGUAUCUCCGUACGUAAAGCUCCAUCAGCAGGGAAGAAAAUGACGGUACCUGACUAACAAGCCCCGGCUAACUACGUGCCAGCAGCCGCGGUUAUACGUAGGGGGCAAGCGUUAUCCGGAUUUACUGGGUGUAAAGGGGGCGUAGACGGCAGCACAAGUCUGGAGGGAAAUCCCGGGGCUUAACCCCGGGACUGCUUUUGAAACUGGGCGGCUGGAGUGCGGGAGGGGUACGCGGAAUUCCUGGUGUAGCGGUGAAAUGCGUAGAUAGUAGGAGGAACACCGGUGGCGAAGGCGGCGUACUGGACUGUAACUGACGUUGAGGCACGAAAGCGUGGGGAGCAAACAGGAUUAGAUACCCGAGUAGUC
RNAcentral lists this ribosomal RNA (440 nucleotides) under uncultured bacterium. Its description in RNAcentral is "partial 16S ribosomal RNA". It matches the Rfam family "Bacterial small subunit ribosomal RNA", at positions 338 to 795 of the family's 1533-position model. The record is from RNAcentral.